RNAcentral lists this ribosomal RNA (406 nucleotides) under uncultured bacterium. RNAcentral's name for it is "partial 16S ribosomal RNA". It matches the Rfam family "Bacterial small subunit ribosomal RNA", at positions 30 to 526 of the family's 1533-position model. The record is from RNAcentral.
AUUGAACGCUGGCGGCAGGCUUAACACAUGCAAGUCGAGCGAGCGGCGGACGGGUGAGUAAUGUCUGGGAAACUGCCUGAUGGAGGGGGAUAACUACUGGAAACGGUAGCUAAUACCGCAUACUAUCAGAUGUGCCCAGAUGGGAUUAGCUAGUAGGUGGGGUAAUGGCUCACCUAGGCGACGAUCCCUAGCUGGUCUGAGAGGAUGACCAGCCACACGGGAACUGAGACCCGGUCCAGACUCCUACGGGAGGCAGCAGUUGGUAAUAUUGCACAAUGGGCGCAAGCCUGAUGCAGCCAUGCCGCGUGUAUGAAUAAGGCCUUCGGGUUGUAAAGCACUGUCAGCGAGGAGGCGUUACUCGCAGAAGAAGCACCGGCUAACUCCGUGCCAGCCGCCGCGGUAAUUC